Molecule: ribosomal RNA, 776 nt
Filed under: Salmonella enterica subsp. enterica serovar Singapore
Lineage: Bacteria; Pseudomonadati; Pseudomonadota; Gammaproteobacteria; Enterobacterales; Enterobacteriaceae
Description: partial 23S ribosomal RNA
Rfam family: Bacterial large subunit ribosomal RNA
Source: RNAcentral
GUAUCACUUAAAGCGAUUCAGCGGGUUACGAUUGACGGAGCGAAGCGACGUCAAAGCGUAUACAAAGUCGAGUCGGUUUAAGGAUACGUUCGUUGGGUAGGGGAGCGUUCUGUAAGCCUGUGAAGGUGGCCUGUGAGGGUUGCUGGAGGUAUCAGAAGUGCGAAUGCUGACAUAAGUAACGAUAAAGCGGGUGAAAAGCCCGCUCGCCGGAAGACCAAGGGUUCCUGUCCAACGUUAAUCGGGGCAGGGUGAGUCGACCCCUAAGGCGAGGCCGAAAGGCGUAGUCGAUGGGAAACGGGUUAAUAUUCCCGUACUUGGUGUUACUGCGAAGGGGGGACGGAGAAGGCUAUGUUGGCCGGGCGACGGUUGUCCCGGUUUAAGCGUGUAGGUGUGUGUUCCAGGUAAAUCCGGUUCACUUUAACACUGAGGCGUGAUGACGAGGCACUACGGUGCUGAAGCAACAAAUGCCCUGCUUCCAGGAAAAGCCUCUAAGCAUCAGGUAACACGAAAUCGUACCCCAAACCGACACAGGUGGUCAGGUAGAGAAUACCAAGGCGCUUGAGAGAACUCGGGUGAAGGAACUAGGCAAAAUGGUGCCGUAACUUCGGGAGAAGGCACGCUGACACGUAGGUGAAGUGAUUUACUCACGGAGCUGAAGUCAGUCGAAGAUACCAGCUGGCUGCAACUGUUUAUUAAAAACACAGCACUGUGCAAACACGAAAGUGGACGUAUACGGUGUGACGCCUGCCCGGUGCCGGAAGGUUAAUUGAUGGGGU